Molecule: transfer RNA, 75 nt
Filed under: Pararhodospirillum photometricum DSM 122
Lineage: Bacteria; Pseudomonadati; Pseudomonadota; Alphaproteobacteria; Rhodospirillales; Rhodospirillaceae
Description: tRNA-Asn
Source: RNAcentral
GUAAUUGAUCUUUUCGUACCCGGCACUGCCUUCCAGAGUCACGGUGGGCCGCCAGCCCGACAGCGCCUGCGGCAC